CAAGUCGAACGCGAAAGGGGCUUCGGUCCUGAGUAGAGUGGCGAACGGGUGAGUAACACGUGGGUGAUCUACCUUCGAGUGGGGGAUAACGUUCCGAAAGGAACGCUAAUACCGCAUGACGUUCCGGGUUUAAAGACCUGGAAACCAAAGCUGGGGACCGCAAGGCCUGGCGCUUGAAGAGGAGCCCGCGUCCGAUUAGCUAGUUGGCGGGGUAAUGGCCCACCAAGGCGACGAUCGGUAGCCGGCCUGAGAGGGCGGACGGCCACACUGGAACUGAGACACGGUCCAGACUCCUACGGGAGGCAGCAGUGGGGAAUUGUUCACAAUGGGCGCAAGCCUGAUGACGCAACGCCGCGUGGGGGAUGAAGGUCUUCGGAUCGUAAACCCCUGUCGAAUGGGACGAAAGACCCGGGAGCUAAUCAUUCCGGGAGUGACGGUACCGUUAAAGGAAGCCACGGCUAACUCUGUGCCAGCAGCCGCGGUAAUACAGAGGUGGCAAGCGUUGUUCGGAAUUACUGGGCGUAAAGGGCGCGUAGGCGGCCUUCUAAGUCAGACGUGAAAUCCCCCGGCUUAACCUGGGAACUGCGUCUGAUACUGGGAGGCUUGAGUAUGGGAGAGGGAUGUAGAAUUCCAGGUGUAGCGGUGAAAUGCGUAGAUAUCUGGAGGAAUACCGGUGGCGAAGGCGGCAUCCUGGACCAUAACUGACGCUGAGGCGCGAAAGCUAGGGGAGCAAACGGGAUUAGAUACCCCGGUAGUCCUAGCCCUAAACGAUGAAUACUUGGUGUGGCGGGUAUCGAUCCCUGCCGUGCCGAAGCUAACGCAUUAAGUAUUCCGCCUGGGG
RNAcentral lists this ribosomal RNA (841 nucleotides) under uncultured Acidobacteriota bacterium. RNAcentral describes it as "bacterial SSU rRNA". It matches the Rfam family "Bacterial small subunit ribosomal RNA", at positions 58 to 878 of the family's 1533-position model. Lineage: Bacteria; Pseudomonadati; Acidobacteriota. The record is from RNAcentral.